ACAGAGCCCGUGAAUCCGGGCGUGUGGAAUUCAGGACCGACGGGCGGACCUUCGGGUUCGUUCGUCGAUUCGAUAUUUCCGCCGUCGACCCUCAACCGAGGGUGUCGGACGUCGCGACCCGUUCGCCGAAGCCGAUGCUGAGGGGUGCGUUUCAAGUUCGCCUGCGCGGCCGUUUCGGCGGUCGUGCGACGAUGACGCGCUUCCGCUGCCCAUCGGUGCGGACGGUAGCUUUGCGCGCGGGUAUUCGAUGCAGCCCUUGCCCGUCGUCUCGUACGUCGGGCGGUGCUCGCAUCGACGCCGGUCAGCGAAGAAUCUUCGGGCCUCUUUCCGACCCGUCUUGAAACACGGACCAAGGAGUCUAGCGUGCGCGCGAGUCGCGGGGUAUCCGAGUCGUUGUAGUCGUUUCGGCGGCGAACGCGACUCGUCACGAUACGAAACCCGUGUACGUACGUUGUGCGAAGGCGUAAUGAAAGUGAAAGGUGGCGCUUCGCGCGUCACCGGGGGAAGACGGUGUUCCGAGUUCACGUUUCGCAAACAUAUGUGUUUGCGGCCGGACACCCGCAUUCCCAGGGCGUCCCUCUCGUACGUCGGUGGUCGGAGUUCGCGCUUCGAUCGUCGACGAACUGGGGCGCACCUACAGCGUGCACGCUGGUACCCGAAAGAUGGUGAACUAUGCCCGGCCAGGAU
Molecule: ribosomal RNA, 687 nt
Filed under: Saissetia coffeae
Lineage: Eukaryota; Metazoa; Arthropoda; Insecta; Hemiptera; Coccidae
Description: partial 28S ribosomal RNA
Rfam family: Eukaryotic large subunit ribosomal RNA
Source: RNAcentral